Molecule: long non-coding RNA, 3562 nt
Organism: Bombus terrestris (buff-tailed bumblebee)
Lineage: Eukaryota; Metazoa; Arthropoda; Insecta; Hymenoptera; Apidae
Exons: 2
Source: RefSeq, a predicted model, not a curated record
AGUUCGACUCUAUGCAUCGUGCACUCCGUGACUCAUUGAUAUCCGCAUCGAUACGAGUCGUCGAUCUUGAGACCGUGUGCUCUAUGCUUCGGUCGGCCCGCCACGUGCCACCAGUGUAAUGUCGGCGCGUCACUAGCGUAAUGGCGGCGCCCGGUGAUCACCGCACGUUUCACAUCGCAGUUACGGUUUACGAGUUUUUUAAAAAAUAAUAAAAUAUUCACAGUAAUAUCCGAAUAUUUGUAAAAAUUCACCGUGACCUGUGCUCUCCUUCUUCUCCUCGGUUAGAAAAACCCACCGAUUCAUGCCCGCUGACGAUGCGCUGUCCGCGAAGGGUAAAUAUUUACCUCGCAAAGUCACUUUCACUAUUCGUCGAGGAGAGUCUUAACUUGCACUACAGCUAGUUGAUAAGUUUGUUCAUCGGCCUUUAUUGAUUUGAAAAAAUGAGCACGAUGCCCCUGGUUACUGCAUAACCUCAACCGUGUGACAGCUUGCCUUAUAGGCACAAAACCUUAGUUUGCGACGAGCAAUUUUUAUAAGCUAUCCUGCUACGACACAAUCAAGAGCGCUUGUGCCAGGAGAAAGGCACUAGAAUUUAGUUUAUUGACUAUAAUUAUAGUGCUAUAAUUAAUCUGGCGUUCUAUCCAAGAUCAGUUCUACAGAUGUUUCCUCCCCUUGAGUUGCGUCAUAUGACCACACGCUUCUAUGUAUCCCAGACUUUUCCCUUUCCCAUGGAGAGUCUCCUCAUUUGAUUGUAUUACACCCAAAGGGCUCGUGAACACAUUCAGACACUAGUUGCUUUUACUUAUAAUGAAGAGCACGUAUCUUGCUCCGACAGCUAGUAUACAAGAUAAGUAUUACACUAAUAACUUGUUGCUUCGGGCUUAUCACAUACACGAAUCACAUACAUACAACUAUCACUAAUACUUUUUCUUCCAGGUGGAGGAUUUAACACAACAAUCAACCACUCUGCUCUCACACAUAAUAUUUACCUAACUUAAUUUAACUUAAUACCACUCUACCUUCUGUGACGGUAAUGGCCAUACCCUGCGUCUACCCUGCUUUUCGCAUAAUCACUUUCUUAAAUGCGACACAAGUUAAACUCAUUGCAUGGAUUACCAUCUCAUAUUUAAUAAAGAAUCUAUAACAUCCACCUUUGAUUUAUAAUUUUGUUUUAAACCUAUUUGUCCCUAUAGAGAGUUACGAACACCGGACAUAGCAAAGUAUACUAUCACAAUAUCUUUCUACGUUGGUAUUAACCCUUUCCCACUCCUUCUUAGCUCUGAAGGACCGUCGCCACUAUUGCUGGUCAAAAUUAUAACCACAUUGUAUCAAGAACUCUAUAGACUUUUUCAGAAACCUAACCUCGACUUUUCACAGCUCGCCUAGCCUUUGUUUUGACUGAAUAUAUGCCAAAGCUAAUGUUAGCAUAAUCGUUACACCUUGCACUUUUGAUUGCACACAUCGUAGUUGAGAAAUUUAUUAAUUCGUAAGUUUUCAAGCAUAUUCUACGAAGUCGAUAUAACGUCGGCAUGGCCGGGCCACGUGGCCCGGCAUACGAUCCCCUAUUGAUAAGGCAUAUCUAGAUAGCCUAACACGCCAGUAUCCAGGACCUAAACAAAAAUUUUCUAUGGGACGAGACAAAUACGAAACGAACGAAUACGUAACGAAACGAAUUUUUGGACAGGAUCACAUCUUUCACAUAGUAUCGGACAACUUCCCUAUUAUCGAAGACGGAAUCAUUGGGCUACCAUGUUUAGGGAAGUAUAACUAUUCAAUAUCCAAUGACAAAAUCUGACUAAACGACAAAACCAUUUUGUUUCAGAAACCAAUACACUUAACUCCUGGUGUACUGUUGACCCGAGGAGAUCGCUCGUCUCCGCGAGGCGUGAAUCCGCGCUCGGCGCCGGUUCACCAGAUCCCACCGUAAACGGCGGCUGGACGAAGCCACGGUGGCUCGUCUGUACGAGGUGAAGAGACGGGCUUGGGACGAGCUUCUGACCAGCCUCGACUCCGAUUCCCUGGGGGCACCCUUACAAGAUGGUAUUGAACAAAUUCCGUCCAUGGGCGCCUUCCGCAACGGAGAGCAUGGACCUUCGGUUCAUGGAGGAGGUUGUCGGCACUCUGUUCCCGGGAGCGGCGAACGAGGAAGAGGGCAGGUUCACCGAUGAGGAAGAGCAGGAGCGUCAACCGCCGGAAGUUGGAGCCCGGAAUCGAGGGUCACCGAGGAAGAAUUGACCUAGGCUGUAGGGAGGCUCGGAGCGCGGAAAGCUCCGGGUCCCGACGGAGUCCCAGCCCGCCUGUGGAAGGACGUCGCCGGGGUCUUGCCCUGAGAUUAAUACGUCUGUUCGACAGAUGCCUGUCUCGGGGCGAAUUCCCCGUCUUGUGGAAGGAGGGACGGAUGGUCCUGCUGCCGAAGCCGGGAUGGUCUUCGUACUGGCCUUCCGUCUUUCGGCCGGUAUGCCUUUUGGACGAGGCUGGCAAGCUACUGGAGAGAGUGGUAGCUGCCCGCCUCGAGUCGCAUUUGUCUGGAAGUGUUCUCGGACUGCACGACAGCUAGUUUGGCUUUCGGAGGGGGCGGUCUACGGCCGACGCUGUCGCCCGUGUCCGUUCCUUGGCCAAGGGGGUCGAGCAGCGUGGUUGCGUGGCAUUGGCCGUGUCGCUGAACGUGGUCAACGCUUUCAACAGUAUCCCCUGGAACAAGAUAUGCCGGGCCCUCGAGUUUCAUUGGGUACCCGCGUACCUGCGGCGUGUGGUCCGGGCGUUCCACCGGGACCGGAGUAUCGUCUACACCGUUCGCGGCGGGGGGAUGGCAGAUAGGGCGGUGUACUGCGCGGGGUCCUGCAGGAUUCUGUGUUGGGUCCGUUGCUGUGGAACAUCGCGUACGACGCGGUGCUUCCCCCGGACUCGGCAUUGGCGUGCUACGCCGACGACACCGUCAAUUCACAUCAAUUCACAUCAGAGACCAGGCCACACACCGCGGGCAGGAUGGCACCCAGAUGUCUGCACAUCCUUGACGCGUACCCUCAAUAGUCUUAAGUACUCACCAGGGGUCUUGCAAUUUUCAUAGUUAAGGUCCCUCAGACCAAGCGAGUAUCUCUUGUCUUAGAUUUCCUUUUACGUUUAUUGUUUACUACGGAAAGUCGGUGUUCCUCACUUCUGGUAUAUUCCGUUGGCAACUUUCUCACGAGGGCGGUUGAAACCCUUCCUGGUCCACCAACCGUCUUAUUAUCCAAUCGGAGACUGUGUCUACUGCCCUCACUUCCUUAACCAAAAUUAACAUCAACAAAUCCGAUAGAUCCGUGUCCUCAGACACGCCCACACCUACUUUCCUCGGAUACAGUAUCGUCAGUACGUCUUAUACGUACUGAUUGCUCCAUGCAUUAACCUCGAGUACAACUUAGACGCUAACGAAGAGUAAAGUUCGUCAUCCCGUUGACCGCGGAUUCGUUAUCGAACCUGAGGCCAUUGUCAUUAGUGUCGCGAGUACCUAGACGUUGUGGUUAACUACCAACGCUGUAAUAUCUCUACUUGUGUUAAUAAAUUGUACCUUUGUUCUAACGCA